RNAcentral lists this ribosomal RNA (253 nucleotides) under uncultured bacterium. Its description in RNAcentral is "partial 16S ribosomal RNA". It matches the Rfam family "Bacterial small subunit ribosomal RNA", at positions 524 to 776 of the family's 1533-position model. The record is from RNAcentral.
UACGUAGGGUGCAGGCGUUAAUCGGAAUUACUGGGCGUAAAGCGUGCGCAGGCGGUUUCUUAAGUCAGAUGUGAAAGCCCCGGGCUUAACUGGGGAGGGUCACUCGAUACUGAUCGACUCGAAGGCAGGAGAGGGAAGUGGAAUUUCCGGUGUAGUGGUGAAAUGCGUAGAUAUCUGGAGGAACACCGGUGGCGAAGGCGGCGUUCUGGACUGUUUCUGACACUGUAAAACGAAAGCCAGGGGAGCAAACGGG